GCUCGGAUGGUGAAAUCGGUAGACACAAGGGACUUAAAAUCCCUUGCUCGCAAGGGCGUGACGGUUCGAGUCCGUCUCCGAGCA
Molecule: transfer RNA, 84 nt
Filed under: Chlamydiales bacterium
Lineage: Bacteria; Pseudomonadati; Chlamydiota; Chlamydiia; Chlamydiales
Description: tRNA-Leu
Rfam family: tRNA
About the family: Transfer RNA (tRNA) molecules are approximately 80 nucleotides in length.
Source: RNAcentral